Molecule: ribosomal RNA, 165 nt
Filed under: uncultured bacterium
Lineage: Bacteria
Description: partial 16S ribosomal RNA
Rfam family: Bacterial small subunit ribosomal RNA
Source: RNAcentral
CCGGGUAAAGGGUUACACCUGAUCAGCAUGCCGCGUGCAGGACGAAGGCCUUCGGGUUGUAAACUGCUUUUGUACAGAACGAAAAGCCUUGGGUGAAUACCCUGAGGACAUGACGGUACUGUAAGAAUAAGCACCGGCUAACUACGUGCCAGCAGCCGCGGUAAU